UUCACUUAUUCACUUUAAAAUUAUUUCUAUUUGGCGCGGAACAGUGAUAGUAUCGGUAUCCAUUUGGUGGGAUAUUUGCUCUCAUUUUUCCUCUCUUCGUCGAGGGAUUUUUCAUCCCAGCAAUGUCCCUACAUUCCAUACUCACGUACGUCCUAUGUUGCCGGCAACAUUCCGCAUACCCUGGGGGAAAUGCAUAUUAUAGAAUUGAGGAAAUGUUUGUCAUCUGUCUCCAAUAAAUGAAGAAACUAGUCAGUCUCUGUUUAAAGCUAUCACAACGAAAUUUUGCAGUUUAUUGUUUGUUUACAGAGACCAAGAAUCGGUAUCGGGGUAUACAAAUGGCCAUACUCCGGUCGACAAGCAACAAGUCUUCAAACGCCAGCAACAUGUAAGAAA
Long non-coding RNA from Drosophila miranda, 393 nucleotides. RefSeq lists it as uncharacterized. The record is from RefSeq and is a predicted model, not a curated record. Lineage: Eukaryota; Metazoa; Arthropoda; Insecta; Diptera; Drosophilidae. The transcript has 2 exons.